Transfer RNA from Phytophthora infestans T30-4, 64 nucleotides. It matches the Rfam family "tRNA". Rfam says of the family: Transfer RNA (tRNA) molecules are approximately 80 nucleotides in length. NCBI's taxonomy places the organism in Eukaryota, Oomycota, Peronosporomycetes, Peronosporales, Peronosporaceae. The record is from Rfam.
ACCCGUCUAGCUGAGCGCUGGCCUUUUAAGCCAGUGGUCGUGGGUUCGAUUUCCACGGGGGGUG